RNAcentral lists this ribosomal RNA (889 nucleotides) under uncultured bacterium. RNAcentral's name for it is "bacterial SSU rRNA". It matches the Rfam family "Bacterial small subunit ribosomal RNA", at positions 34 to 914 of the family's 1533-position model. The record is from RNAcentral.
CGUUGGCCCAUUGAUUGAUGGUGCUUGCACCUGAUUGAUUUUGGUUGCCAACGAGUGGCGGACGGGUGAGUAACACGUAGGUAACCUGCCCAGAAGCGGGGGACAACAUUUGGAAACAGAUGCUAAUACCGCAUAACAGCGUUGUUCGCAUGUACAACGCUUAAAAGAUGGCUUCUCGCUAUCACUUCUGGCUGGACCUGCGGUGCAUUAGCUUGUUGGUGGGGUAACGGCCUACCAAGGCGAUGAUGCAUAGCCGAGUUGAGAGACUGAUCGGCCACAAUGGGACUGAGACACGGCCCAUACUCCUACGGGAGGCAGCAGUAGGGAAUCUUCCACAAUGGGCGCAAGCCUGAUGGAGCAACACCGCGUGAGUGAAGAAGGGUUUCGGCUCGUAAAGCUCUGUUGUUAAAGAAGAACACGUAUGAGAGUAACUGUUCAUACGUUGACGGUAUUUAACCAGAAAGUCACGGCUAACUACGUGCCAGCAGCCGCGGUAAUACGUAGGUGGCAAGCGUUAUCCGGAUUUAUUGGGCGUAAAGAGAGUGCAGGCGGUUUUCUAUGUCUGAUGUGAAAGCCUUCGGCUUAACCGGAGAAGUGCAUCGGAAACUGGAUAACUUGAGUGCAGAAGAGGGUAGUGGAACUCCAUGUGUAGCGGUGGAAUGCGUAGAUAUAUGGAAGAACACCAGUGGCGAAGGCGGCUACCUGGUCUGCAACUGACGCUGAGACUCGAAAGCAUGGGUAGCGAACAGGAUUAGAUACCCUGGUAGUCCAUGCCGUAAACGAUGAGUGCUAGGUGUUGGAGGGUUUCCGCCCUUCAGUGCCGGAGCUAACGCAUUAAGCACUCCGCCUGGGGAGUACGACCGNCAGGUUGAAACUCAAAGGAAUUGAC